GAAGGGGUAGCCCUGGGAAGCUUAUCUAGUUCGAAGCCAUCACCACUGCUAGAACAGCACCACAAAGCCCAGGCUGCCCUGUUGGUAGUUUGAACACCUGAUUCUUUCAAAGCAUGUAGGAACCUUCAAGAUAGUUUUUACUCAAUCUCCUUCCUUUUACAGAAAGACAAGAGUUGAAAUUGCUGGAGUAUCUUUGGAUCACCCCUAUGUUUGAACCUACAAACAUUAGUGCCAAGCUUGAGCAUGUUAAGGGACCAGAGGGAUACGACAGUGCAGAAGGAAAAAAUCCCAUGGUGAAGCCUGCAGGUCUGUGUUUGGUGUGACCAGGAUAUGUGAGUGGAACCUCACUGAAGGUCAAGUGCCUGUCAUGGUAUGACUGGAUUCCCUGCUCAGCAUCUCACCAGGCUACAAUUAAGGUUUGACAACAGGAGUGUGAACAAAGACAAAAGAGACAUGAAGCUUAAAGAGAUGUUGCUGCUGCCCCACAAUGUACGUCCCAUGUUGAAAUCACAGGUAACUAUUACCUUACCAUUGCUAAACAUCAAUACUAAUUUUUUAAAAAAAUUGCUAGUGGGAUCAAUAUCAGUUAAUUCUACUGUGCCAAGAAUGAGUAGAACUGAUCCAAACCCAUAUUUCAUAAGGUCUGACUACCAAGGCAAAUGGUUUAGACACUGUUCUGCAUUAAGGAUCUUCCAUCAUCAAUGAUAAAAUAUUAAGUCUCUGUAAGUCUUUUAAAUUCCAUAGAAAACUUUAAAAUAGUUCAAAUCUAUUAAUUUUAGUG
Long non-coding RNA from Leopardus geoffroyi (Geoffroy's cat), 781 nucleotides. RefSeq lists it as uncharacterized. The transcript has 6 exons. Lineage: Eukaryota; Metazoa; Chordata; Mammalia; Carnivora; Felidae. The record is from RefSeq and is a predicted model, not a curated record.